UACCUACGGGAGGCAGCAGUAGGGAAUCUUCCGCAAUGGGCGAAAGCCUGACGGAGCAACGCCGCGUGAGUGAAGAAGGAUUUCGGUUCGUAAAGCUCUGUUGUUAGGGAAGAAUGGAUAUGUAGUAACUAUACAUGUACGAGACGGUACCUAACCAGAAAGCCACGGCUAACUACGUGCCAGCAGCCGCGGUAAUACGUAGGUGGCAAGCGUUGUCCGGAAUUAUUGGGCGUAAAGCGCGCGCAGGUGGUUUAAUAAGUCUGAUGUGAAAGCCCACGGCUCAACCGUGGAGGGUCAUUGGAAAC
RNAcentral lists this ribosomal RNA (305 nucleotides) under uncultured bacterium. Its description in RNAcentral is "bacterial SSU rRNA". It matches the Rfam family "Bacterial small subunit ribosomal RNA", at positions 335 to 633 of the family's 1533-position model. The record is from RNAcentral.